This is a long non-coding RNA of Amphiprion ocellaris (clown anemonefish), 1378 nucleotides long. The record is from Ensembl. Lineage: Eukaryota; Metazoa; Chordata; Actinopteri; Pomacentridae.
AACGUUCAAGGCUUUUAUGAAUGAAUUUUAUGAAGACCUUCUAAUGUGUUUUUUUAAGGAAACUGAAUUUUCAGGACGUGCAAACAGCUCAUAACAGAAGGUAAGUGUUCAGUUUGGAUUAUUCAUUAAAUACUAUUUGAAGAAAAGGCAAAUACCAUCGAGCCCAACUCCCCCCACCCAGGAGCAACUGCAACAAAAUGACACUUUUGUCAGUAUUUUCUUUCAUUUUUCAAGAAAAAGGAGCCACUUGUGUGAGCAAACACAUUAACAGGGUUAAUAACAAUGCAAUAAGAAUAUUACAUUUACAGAACAGAUUAAUACUGCUGGAUACUUUAUCCUCUUUUUAAGUAGUUUGUGUUAAAAUGUUACAUGAUUGCAUGGUGUGAAAAGUAACAGGGCAAGUAGAACCACAAACUUUUGAUAUGCAGUCAUUGUACAUCAUGUGUCUUUACUUUGAAAACAGUCCAUAAUAAUCGUUCUCAUCUACAUUUUUCUUAAAAUUCAAUAGAAAUCAGAGCCACACUGUCAUCUGUGCAGUCCUGCGGCCAGUGAAUACGAGUCUUUGCAGUCCAACCAUGAAAGUGAAGUGCAGGCGUCUGAUGAGCGAUUUUUUUGUGGCUCUGAAAACUAAACGUAACUCGAUUUGUGUAGAGGAUCUACAAAUCCUAGACUCAGAGUCAUCAGUCACACAUAUUAUUGUGCACCCUAUUAAGUAGGAAAAGGUCUGAAAUACAGAUAGAUUUCUGACAAACACAUUCUGAAAAGUUGUGUCUGUAGCUGCAAGGACAUCAUUAAAAAUCAGAAUAAUAGCUUUUGUUUUUGCUGUUCUACCUGCAGAGAGCUUCGGUAAAAUGAGUUUAUUAUUAAGACAAUGCUGUUUCAGUAUUUUCAGUGUCUGUUCGGUUGCUACACAGAGUCAGACUAAUUCGGUUUUACCUCCAACUGCAAUGGUUUUUAACAGUUAGCAGAAUAUUUUGGGUGAAAACUGCUCAUCUGCAGACAGAGUAGAUCAGAUUUCUGCACUGAUUUGAACCUAGGUUUUCCUCAUUGUAGCGUUUAUAUGUUUGCUUUAUAAUACUACAUUCAAGUGCUUUAAGAAGUUCAAAAUCUGAGACUUUUAAGUCAGUUAAUACUGCAUUCAUAUGCUAUUUUUUUAACUAAGAGAAAGACAGCUGGAGGUGUCAAAAGGCUGCAGAAAAUUGGUGACCAGUCCCUGAAGAAACAUCUGUUUUGACCAAAGUUCGUUUUAGUGAGAAAUUUGCUUAUUUUCUUCCUUUGUCAGAGUGCGAAGAGGAGUUUUAUAUUAAUCCACGUCAUUCAGAUUGUGGCAGUUGUAAACGUUUGCCUCCAACAACAAAUUUCUGAAGGCCUAAACUGC